UACGUAGGGGGCUAGCGUUGUCCGGAUUUAUUGGGCGUAAAGCGUCCGCAGGUGGCAGUUCAAGUCUGCUGUCAAAGACCGGGGCUUAACUUCGGAAAGGCAGUGGAAACUGAACAGCUAGAGUAUGGUAGGGGCAGAGGGAAUUCCUGGUGUAGCGGUGAAAUGCGUAGAGAUCAGGAAGAACAUCGGUGGCGAAGGCGCUCUGCUGGACCAUAACUGACACUCAGGGACGAAAGCUAGGGGAGCGAAUGGG
RNAcentral lists this ribosomal RNA (253 nucleotides) under uncultured bacterium. RNAcentral's name for it is "partial 16S ribosomal RNA". It matches the Rfam family "Bacterial small subunit ribosomal RNA", at positions 524 to 776 of the family's 1533-position model. The record is from RNAcentral.